Molecule: long non-coding RNA, 590 nt
Filed under: Androctonus crassicauda
Lineage: Eukaryota; Metazoa; Arthropoda; Arachnida; Scorpiones; Buthidae
Source: RNAcentral
AUAUUUAUCAAGAAAGAUAAAAUUUCUUAUUUUUAAUCACUUUUAAUAUCAACUGUUCCAAUAUACAACAGAUACUAAUUUUUAGGUAUAAAUUUUUUCUAAUAUUACUAAUUGAAUAAUACAGAAUUUAGUAUUAGUUAUUGAUCUGUCAAAUUAAGUAAGUUAUAUGUAGAUAAUUCAGCAGUCAUUGCAAACGUGAAAGCCGAUUAUCUUACCUAAUUCAUAGAUUACUUAUCAAUUCAUGUUGCUAUAGAUUAAUACAUUUUUUAUGUUCAUUAAUACAGUAUCCCCCCGCUAUUCGGGGGGUUACGUUCCUUCCCCUCCCGUGAAUCCUGAAAAUCUGCAAAUUAUUGAUGUAGUUUUAAAACGCCUUAUGUAUGAUACGCUAAAAUAUGCUUCCCAAACAUUAAUCAGCAGGAAGGAGAAACGAAAGCUCGUAACUGACAUUGUUAUUUUAAAAUUAUUUACCGGUUAUAGUGUACUGUAUCAUCGCUUUUUUUCUAAUUUUUUAUUUUAUAUUAACUGACAUUGUUACUGUAUUUUAAAAAUAUUUACCGGUUACAGUACUGUAAACUGUAUCAUCUCUCUUU